Molecule: small nucleolar RNA, 137 nt
Filed under: Ornithorhynchus anatinus (platypus)
Lineage: Eukaryota; Metazoa; Chordata; Mammalia; Monotremata; Ornithorhynchidae
Source: RNAcentral
CCCCUCUCAGGAUGGCACCUGGAGAGUUUCCAGUCCUCUGCCAGUCUCGGCUACGGGAGGGAGAGUCAAGCAGAGGCCUGUCCUUCCAUUCCUAGCUUGGGCAGUGGCUAGCGAGUGGAAGGCCACCUGCCACAAAU